AAACUUUACAAUGCGGGAAACCGCGAUAAGGGGACACUGAGUGCCAGCAUAUUAUGUUGGCUGUCCACAUGUAUAAAAACCAUGUGUUAGCAAGGGCCGGGCAAGACCGGUGCCAGCCGCCGCGGUAACACCGGCGGCCCGAGUGGUGAUCACUUUUAUUGGGUCUAAAGGGUCCGUAGCCGGUUUGAUCAGUCCUCUGGGAAAUCUGACAGCUCAACUGUUAGGCUUCCAGGGGAUACUGUUAGACUCGGGACCGGGAGAGGUAAGAGGUACUACAGGGGUAGGAGUGAAAUCUUGUAAUCCCUGUGGGACCACCAGUGGCGAAGGCGUCUUACCAGAACGGGUCCGACGGUGAGGGACGAAAGCUGGGGGCACGAACCGGAUUAGAUACCCGGGUAGUCCCAGCCGUAAACGAUGCUCGCUAGGUGUCAGGGACGGUGCGACCGUUUCUGGUGCCGCAGGGAAGCCGUGAAGCGAGCCACCUGGAAGUACGCCGCAAGGC
This 502-nucleotide ribosomal RNA is filed under the name uncultured euryarchaeote. RNAcentral's name for it is "bacterial SSU rRNA". It matches the Rfam family "Archaeal small subunit ribosomal RNA", at positions 345 to 849 of the family's 1478-position model. The record is from RNAcentral. Lineage: Archaea; Methanobacteriati; Methanobacteriota.